This 264-nucleotide long non-coding RNA is filed under the name Elaeis guineensis (African oil palm). RNAcentral's name for it is "long non-coding RNA (EGUI_LNC035644)". The record is from RNAcentral. Lineage: Eukaryota; Viridiplantae; Streptophyta; Magnoliopsida; Arecales; Arecaceae.
AUCAAAAGGACUAAAAAUAAUGCAUAAAGAAGAUUUAAAAGUAACUUUAAAUCCUUUAUCAUAUAAUUGACUUAUACUAAGCAAAUUAUGUUUCAAUCCAUCAACUAAUAAAACAUUAUCAAUAAAUGUAGAGGGAGUAAUACAUAUUUUACUAAUACCAAUAAUCUUUCUUUUUUCCAUUAUUGCGAAAUAUUACUAUUCCUUCUUUUCUUUCAAAAGUGAUAAACUGAUUUUUAUCACCCACCAUGUAUCUUGAACCGCCAC